This is a non-coding RNA of Macaca mulatta (Rhesus monkey), 4127 nucleotides long. NCBI's taxonomy places the organism in Eukaryota, Metazoa, Chordata, Mammalia, Primates, Cercopithecidae. The record is from RefSeq and is a predicted model, not a curated record.
UGGCAACAGAGCGAGACUCCGUCUCAAUAAAAAAAAGAAAAAAGAAAGAAAAACAAAGACUGAGGGAUGGGAGGAAUGGGAAGAUGAUGAUCAAAGGGUACAAAAUCUCAGACAGGAGAAAUUUUAUUUUCUCUUUUUUGAGUUCUAUUGCAUAGUGUGGUGAAUAUUCAAAAUAGCUAAGAGAGUAAAUUUCAAGUGUUCACACCACAAAAAGUUAAGUAUUUGAGGUGAUGGCUGUGUUAAUUACCUUGAUUAAAUUAUUCUACAUUGUAUUCAGAGGUUAUAAUAUCACUUUGUACCCUAUAAAUUUAUGUCAUUAUAAAUUUUCAAUUUAUAAUUAAGAAAAAACACUUGGGGCCAGAUUAGCAUCAGAAGUGAUUUUUUAAAUAUUUACAAGAUACAAUACAUUUCAUAUAGUGUAUGACAUUUCAUAUAGUGUAAGAUAAAUAAAAGCUAUUUAUAUCUUAGAAAAAAAAAGACCUUGCUUCCAUUCCAUGCAUCUUUUUAAGUGUUAAAAUAUAAAUGUUGAGAACAGCGCAAGAUGGCCAACUUUGUUGAUUGUGUGUUGGAUGAGGAGAAGGUACGCAUAGCUGCUGAAUUCAUCACUCAUGCACCCCCAGGGGAAUUUAAUGAAGUAUUCAGUGAUGUUUGGCUACUACGUAAUAAUGACAACCUCCUCAGGGAAAGGGCAGAACAUGCAUUUGCUCAUUACAACGUGAAUCAGUUCACACCUGUGAAGAUAGAAGGAUAUGAAGAUCAGGUCUUAAUUACAGAGCAUGGUGACCUGGGCAAUAGCAGAGUUUUAGAUCCAAGAAACAACUUUUCCUUUAAAUUUGAUCACUUACAGAAAGAAGCAAGUGACCCCCAGCCAGAACAAGUAGAUGGAGGUCUGAAGUCUUGGAGAUAAUCCUGUGACAGUGCUUUAAGAGCCUGUGUGAAAGACCGUUAUUCCAACUGCCUCUGUAUUGUUUAUGCUAAAACUAUCGAUGGGCAACAGACUAUUAUUGCGUGUAUUGAAAGCCACCAGAGUCAGCCUAAAAACUUAUGGAAUGGUCGUUGGAGAUCAGAGUGGAAGUUGACCAUCACACCACCUACAGGCCAGGUGGUUGGAGUGCUUAAGAUUCAGGUUCACUAUUAUGAAGAUGGCAAUGUUCAGUUGGUUAGUCAUAAAGAUGUACAUGAUUCACUAACUGUUUCGAAUGACACACAAACUGCCAAGGAGUUUAUUAAAAUCAUAGAGAAUGCAGAAAAUGAGCGUCAGACAGCAAUUAGUGAAAACUAUCAAACAAUGUCAGAUACCACAUUCAAGGUCUUGCGCUGGCAGCUUCCAGGUACCCACACCAAAAUCGACUAGAACAAGAUACUCAGCUACAACAUUGCCAAAGAAAUGCAGAAUGCCUAAAGGCUGAAUGUAGGAUUCUUCACUAUGUGGAAAGACAAGGAUUCAACGUGUGGUCAUAUGAUAAAUAAGUGAUUUAUAAACAAGAGUGCUAUUUUGCUAGAGCUUUUAAAGUUAACCAGUUUUCUAGCCUCAUGGAAUACUGUUGAACCUAUAAGCAUUGUCUUGAUUCUUUUGUGUUCUCUGCCUUGCAAUUUUCUGUUAUUGCUAUAUCCAAGUGUAAGUCUUUUUUUGUUGUUGUUAAUUCUGGCACAUUUUAUGUUGGAGAGAGAGAUCUAUCCUAGAGACAUUUUACUGUUGAAAAAAGUUUCCUAGCCAUGAAGCCGUGCUGCUGAUUUAGACAAGGUAUUAUGGUCAUUACUUUCUACCCCAUCCUUCCAAGCACUUCUGGUACUUCAGUGGUUUUCACUGACCCACCAGCACCUAAAGAGGCUAUACUACAAUCUAUAGCUAAAUGGAAGACACGUUCAUCCUUCUCCCUCUGACUGCUUUGAUCAUCAUUUAUUGCAUCUCAGAACUGUAAUUUUCGAAAGUUUGGAUUGGGACUUUUCAGGUUCUUUUUGGAGGGCAAAGGAAGUGUCAGCUUCUCUGGGGAACUUGUUUUUAAAUCCAAAGACUUGAACCAUGUUCCCUGCACAUGAACAUGUUUGCUUUUAUCCCUUCUCUCAUUGUCUCCUUCCCAUCUUAGUGCCAUUGUAGUUAUAGACAUCUGCAUUUUUAGAAGAGUUUUACCCAUUUAUUUUUUUAAACAGUCAAGAACUACUGAAAUACUGUGGAUGUAGAGUAUAAAACUUGAAAAAUGCAGAUGUUGAGGGAAUAAUAGGUAUCUUGUGCUUUAGUACUUUGUGGCAGGAUUGCACUAUAAGCAAAUGAAUUAAACAGCUAUGUAAUCAUAAACAAAAACUAAAAAUGAACCAAAAUGAAAAGGAUAAAUUCCAGGCAGUAUCUUUCUAUUGUAACCUGUUAUUUAAGUAAAUGCUAGUGAUUUCUUCUAAAUAGGAUGUAAAACUUACUUCAAAUUACUCUUCCUCAGUCCUGCCUUUCAAGAACUCAAGUGUAACUGUGAUAAAAUAACCUGUUCCAGGUAUAUUGGCAGGUAUGUGUGUAAUCUCAGAAUACACAGAUGACAUAGAUAUAAUAUAACAACUGGUAAUGGUGGAUUCAUUUACAUUGUUUAUCGUUCUAUGACCCGGCCUUAAGGGAAGGUCAGUUUUUAAAAGAAACAAGUAGUGUCUUCCUGUCUAUCUCCAGAUACAGGUUAAAAAAAAAAAAAAGUGUUUGUGCUUUAGUUUUGUUUUUGCUCAGUAAUAUAGUCAAGCAACAGUUUGUUUCCAAGUGACCCAUUGAGCUGCGUAUGCAUUUUUGUUUAUUUCAAAUAAAAUAUAUUUGUAUUAUUUGUCAUUCAUACUAUCCAUCCAUACCACACUACCUUCUGUAUCAGGUAGUCUAAUAGAAAUAUACCUGUUUUGUUCUUAAAAUAAAAAAAAAAGGUUAACUAGCUCAAAACAUUUUGAGAAUUCAAGAGUGAAAUGAGAAUUACUUGGAGAGAAAUGUUUUGUCACCAGUAACUGUAGACUUCUUUCUGUUCUUUAAUCAAAAUUCAGGUUUACAAAAUUUGGACAUUUUGAGUUCAGAAAUGUUUAAAUAUUAAUAUACUGAAGAAUUUUAAUGUGUGAGCCAGUAAUUUGAAUAUUGCUUUGAUUUACAGUAAUUUUGAUGAUGUUCAUUUUGGUAUUACACUCACUUAUUACUGAUAUUAACUAAAGUCCUCAUAACAAUUUUAUUUGAAUAUACUACCAUUUUUAAUGAAUAGCCAUACUUUGCAAGAUGUAUAUUAGAGCCUGAUUUUAUAAUGUUGUAAAUUUAUACUUACCAUUUUAAGGAACUAGAGACAAAAUUUGAAGACAAGAUAUAACAAUUUUAUGUAGCAUUGAAAGAUUAAAAGACAUUUUUAGCACACAAAAAAACAAAGUUAUGUCAUAGUAAGCAAUUUUCUUGACUUUUAAAACGAUUGAGUGCUUUAACAUACUUAGUUCUUACAAUUAUUUUGUUUUAUUUACUUUCUGGACUUUUCCUUAGUGAUGGGAGAUUUUGUUCACUGGUAGUUUAGAUUCAAAGCAUUAGUUCAGUACAAUUUCAGGUAGAAAACCUUAAUGAAUUAUUCAUUAAUACCAAUAAAGACAUUUGUAGUUACCAUGCCUUGUUACUGCCACACACCAGCAUUUGUGUACUGAUUUUAAUCACUUUUAUAUGUAGUGAUUUGAUUUGGCCAGUAGAAUUUGAAAAGCUUUGCUGAAAAGUAUUCGGCUCAUUAUAAUCUGAGAACAUAGGCAUUGCAGAUGUAUAUUAAGUUUUAUUAUGUAAAAUGUAUACAGUUACCUCUCAAAAUAGAAACUAAAAUAAUAUUUAUAUUCAUAAUAUUGAAACUAUGUUUGAAUGUUAAUAUCUGCAAAAAAAUUGUGAUCUUCUAAAAAUAUUGUUUUAUGAUAUAAUUCAUCAGCUUGCAAUUGUCUUCUCUGAGCAGAACUCAGAAGUUUUCAUCAAGACAGGUUUUAUUUGUGAGCAAUACAUCUGUUGAUAUUAAGUACAUUAAUAUGAGAAACAUUUGCUUUUCUAAAAGUGGAACAUUGUAAUAUCCAGAUAAUUUUGUUUUGUACUCAUAAGGUUAAUAGAGCCUAUUUGACUUGAGUUGUAUUUUGUUUUGUGAAAUAAAGUAUCUUUCUCCUUU